AAGUCGUAACAAGGUUUCCGUAGGUGAACCUGCGGAAGGAUCAUUAUUGAAAAAAUAACAUCCACACCUCUGUGCACCCAUUCUAUAUAUAUGGGCUAGUCAAAUUUUCCUGGUUUAGUUAUCAGGAAAACUAGACUUUUCCAUUAUUUUACAUAUGCGUUUGAAAAUUAUUUUCUGUAAAAAGGAAAUGUAUGACAAACAAAAAACAACUUUCAGCAACGGAUCUCUUGGCUCUC
Molecule: unclassified non-coding RNA, 236 nt
Filed under: fungal sp.
Lineage: Eukaryota; Fungi
Description: partial internal transcribed spacer region
Rfam family: Eukaryotic small subunit ribosomal RNA (bases 1-46)
Source: RNAcentral